This 433-nucleotide ribosomal RNA is filed under the name uncultured bacterium. RNAcentral describes it as "partial 16S ribosomal RNA". It matches the Rfam family "Bacterial small subunit ribosomal RNA", at positions 29 to 507 of the family's 1533-position model. The record is from RNAcentral.
AACGAACGCUGGCGGCAUGCCUAACACAUGCAAGUCGAACGAGACCUUCGGGUCUAGUGGCGCACGGGUGCGUAACGCGUGGGAACCUGCCCUUAGGUUCGGCAUAACUCCCCGAAAGGGGUGCUAAUACCGGAUAAUGUCUUCGGACCAAAGAUUUAUCGCCCUUGGAUGGGCCCGCGUUGGAUUAGCUAGUUGGUAGGGUAAAAGCCUACCAAGGCGUCGAUCCAUAGCUGGGAUGAGAGGAAGAUCAGCCACACUGGGACUGAGACGCGGCCCAGAAUACUACGGGAGGGAGGAGUGGGGGAUAUUGGAAAAUGGGGGGAAGGCUGAACCAGCAAUGACGGGAGAAUGAUGAAGGCAUUAGGGUUGUAAAGCUCUUUUACCCGGGAUGAUAAUGACAGUACCGGGAGAAUAAGCUCCGGCUAACUACGUG